This 502-nucleotide ribosomal RNA is filed under the name uncultured bacterium. RNAcentral describes it as "bacterial SSU rRNA". It matches the Rfam family "Bacterial small subunit ribosomal RNA", at positions 28 to 523 of the family's 1533-position model. The record is from RNAcentral.
GACGAACGCUGGCGGCGUGGAUUAGGCAUGCAAGUCGAACGGUAUCAUCCUUUCGGGGGUGAGAGAGUGGCGAACUGGUGAGUAACACGUAGGUUAUCUACCCUCAAGACGGGGACAACCCAGGGAAACUUGGGCUAAUACCGGAUGUGAGCAACUUUUAGUUGUUUGAAAGGUGGCGUAAGCUGUCGCUUGGGGAUGAGCCUGCGUCCUAUUAGUUAGUUGGUGAGGUAACGGCUCACCUAGGCAAUGAUAGGUAGGCGGCCUUAACGGGUGGUCGCCCACACUGGGAUUGAGAUACGGCCCAGACUCCUACGGGAGGCAGCAGUCGAGAAUAGUCUACAAUGGUCGGAAGACUGAUAGUGCGACGCCGCGUGAACGAUGAAUCCCUUCGGGGUUAAAGUUCUUUUAUAUGUGAGCAGUGCUUCUUAUAUUAACAGUAUGGGGAAGAGAUAUUAGCAUAAUGAAUAAGCAACGGCUAAACUCCGUGCCAGCAGCCGGGUAA